RNAcentral lists this ribosomal RNA (376 nucleotides) under Lissocampus caudalis. Its description in RNAcentral is "partial 12S ribosomal RNA". It matches the Rfam family "Bacterial small subunit ribosomal RNA", at positions 838 to 1383 of the family's 1533-position model. Lineage: Eukaryota; Metazoa; Chordata; Actinopteri; Syngnathiformes; Syngnathidae. The record is from RNAcentral.
GCAUAGCCGUAAAUAGAUAUAGAUACUAUAUCCGCCCGGGAACUACGAACACUAGUUUAAAACCCAAAGGACUUGGCGGUGCUUUAGACCCCCCUAGAGGAGCCUGUUCUAGAACCGAUAAUCCCCGUCAAACCUCACCCUCUCUUGUUAUAUCCGCCUAUAUACCGCCGUCGUCAGCUUACCCUGUAAAGGCAAAACAGUGAACAGAAUUGGUAAAACCCAAAACGACAGGUCGAGGUGUAGUUUAUGAGAGGGGAAGAAAUGGGCUACAUUCGCCCCUAGCGAAUACGAAUGAUUUACUGAAACAUAAAUUUGAAGGAGGAUUUAGCAGUAAGAGGGAAAUAGAGUGUCCUUCUGAAACCGGCCCUGAAGCGCG